This 465-nucleotide ribosomal RNA is filed under the name uncultured bacterium. RNAcentral describes it as "partial 16S ribosomal RNA". It matches the Rfam family "Bacterial small subunit ribosomal RNA", at positions 28 to 507 of the family's 1533-position model. The record is from RNAcentral.
GACGAACGCUGGCGGCGUGCUUAACACAUGCAAGUCGAACGGAAAGGCCCCUUUGGGGGUACUCGAGUGGCGAACGGGUGAGUAACACGUGAGUAACCUGCCCUUGACUUCGGGUUAACUUCAGGAAACUGGGGCUAAUACCGGAUAGGAAUCCUUGCCGCAUGGUGGGGGUUGGAAAGCUUCGGCGGUUUUGGAUGGACUCGCGGCUUAUCAGCUUGUUGGUGGGGUAGUGGCUUACCAAGGCGUUGACGGGUAGCCGGCCUGAGAGGGCGACCGGCCACAUUGGGACUGAGAUACGGCCCAGACUCCUACGGGAGGCAGCGGUGGGGAAGAUUGCACAAAGGGCGGAAGCCUGAUGCAACAACGCCGCGUGCGGGAUGACUGCCUUCGGGUUGUAAGCCGCUUUCAGCAGGGGCGAAGCUUGUGGUGACGGUACCUGCAGAAGAAGCACCGGCUAACUACGUG